GGAAAAGAAACCAACAGGGAUUGCCUUAGUAACGGCGAGUGAAGCGGCAACAGCUCAAAUUUGAAAUCUGGCCCUCGGGUCCGAAUUGUAAUUUGUAGAGGAUGAUUUUGGUGCGGUAUCUUCCGAGUUCCUUGGAACAGGACGCCUUAGAGGGUGAGAGCCCCGUACGGUUGAAUGCCUAGCCUCUGUAAAUCUCCUUCGACGAGUCGAGUAGUUUGGGAAUGCUGCUCUAAAUGGGAGGUAAAUUUCUUCUAAAGCUAAAUAUUGGCCAGAGACCGAUAGCGCACAAGUAGAGUGAUCGAAAGAUGAAAAGCACUUUGAAAAGAGGGUUAAAUAGCACGUGAAAUUGUUGAAAGGGAAGGAUUUGUGACCAGACUUUUUCUGGGCGGAUCAUCCGGGGUUCUCUCCGGUGCACUUUGCCCAGUAAAGGCCAGCAUCGAUUUUCGGCGGCGGAUAAAAGCAGUGGGAAUGUGGCUCCCUACGGGGAGUGUUAUAGCCCAUUGUAUAAUACGCUGCUGGGGAUCGAGGUACGCGCUUCUGCAAGGAUGCUGGCGUAA
Molecule: ribosomal RNA, 557 nt
Filed under: uncultured fungus
Lineage: Eukaryota; Fungi
Description: eukaryotic LSU rRNA
Rfam family: Eukaryotic large subunit ribosomal RNA
Source: RNAcentral